GUACGUAGGUUAGGUUUAGGCAAGUGAAGUUGCAUAGGUUAGGUUUAGGCAAAUGAAGUUACAUAGGUUAGGGUUAGGCAAGUAAAGUUACAUAGGUUAGGUUUAGGCAAAUGAAGUUACAUAGGUUAGGGUUAGGCAAGUAAAGUUACAUAGGUUAGGUUUAGGCAAAUGAAGUUACAUAGGUUAGGGUUAGGCAAGUAAAGUUACAUAGGUUAGGUUUAGGCAAGUAAAGUUACAUAGGUUAGGUUUAGUCAAGUGAAGGUACGUAGGUUAGGUUUAGGCAAGUGAAGUUGCAUAGGUUAGGUUUAGGCAAAUGAAGUUACAUAGGUUAGGGUUAGGCAAGUAAAGUUACAUAGGUUAGGUUUAGGCAAGUAAAGUUACAUAGGUUAGGUUUAGGCAAGUAAAGUUAUGUUGGUUAGGUUUCGGCAAGUAAAGUUACAUAGGUUAGGUUUCGGCAAGUAAAGUUACAUAGGUUAGGUUUAGGCAAGUAAAGUUACAUUCUGUAGGUUAGGUUUAGGAAAGGGUUAGGUUUCGGCAAGUAAAGUUACAUAGGUUAGGUUUAGGCAAGUAAAGUUAUGUAGGUUAGGUUUUGGCAAGUAAAGUUACAUAGGUUAGGUUUCGGCAAGUAAAGUUAUGUUGGUUAGGUUUAGGCAAGUAAAGUUACAUAGGCUGGUUGAGGAAAAGAGACAUGGUGACAUGCCAAAAAACAACUCAAAGCACUUGGUUUCACAUGUGUCUGAACACCAGUGUCCUGGGGGAAAGUCCUGUUUUGAUUGACACAUCCACCACCUCAACCUGCCUCCUUA
Epinephelus moara (kelp grouper) is the source of this 806-nucleotide long non-coding RNA. RefSeq lists it as uncharacterized. The transcript is spliced from 3 exons. Lineage: Eukaryota; Metazoa; Chordata; Actinopteri; Perciformes; Serranidae. The record is from RefSeq and is a predicted model, not a curated record.